CGCCUAUAUGAAGUCGGAAUUGCUAGUAAUCGCAGAUCAGCAUGCUGCGGUGAAUACGUUCCCGGGCCUUGUACACACCGCCCGUCACACCAUGAGAGUCGAUAACACCCGAAGCCUGUAGUCUAACCAUAAGGAGGACGCAGUCGAAGGUGGGAUUGAUAAUUAGGGUGAAGUCGUAACAAGGUAAC
This 188-nucleotide ribosomal RNA is filed under the name uncultured bacterium. Its description in RNAcentral is "partial 16S ribosomal RNA". It matches the Rfam family "Bacterial small subunit ribosomal RNA", at positions 1313 to 1500 of the family's 1533-position model. The record is from RNAcentral.